GUGCUAAGGUAGCAUAAUCAUUUGUUUCUUAAUUGGUAGCUGGAAUGAACGGUUGAGCUGAUUUGAUAAGUGUGUGUAGUUAAAUAGAAAAUUAAAGUCAAGGUAAGAAUUCUUUGAUUUUUUAGGGGACGAUAAGACCCUAUAAGCUUGAUAAAUAUAAUAUUGGUUUUGUUUUCCAAAUUAGGUUGUUUUACUGGGGCGGUACUGAUAUUUUAACUAUUAGUUUAUUUUAGAUCCUUAAAAUAUAGAUGAAGCGGAAAAGUUACUCUAGGGAUAACAGUGCAAUAUUUUUGGAGAGAUCUUAUCGAUAAAUAUGUUUGCAACCUCGAUGUUGAAUUA
This 339-nucleotide ribosomal RNA is filed under the name Ommatogammarus flavus. RNAcentral describes it as "partial 16S ribosomal RNA". It matches the Rfam family "Bacterial large subunit ribosomal RNA", at positions 1948 to 2539 of the family's 2925-position model. The record is from RNAcentral. Lineage: Eukaryota; Metazoa; Arthropoda; Malacostraca; Amphipoda; Ommatogammaridae.